This 1266-nucleotide long non-coding RNA is filed under the name Polistes fuscatus (common paper wasp). Its description in RNAcentral is "uncharacterized LOC122522598, transcript variant X2". Lineage: Eukaryota; Metazoa; Arthropoda; Insecta; Hymenoptera; Vespidae. The record is from RNAcentral.
GGCCUCGCGUUACGUCAGUCUAUGAUCGUGCUACGGCUACAGUACGGUCGUACUACGCCCUACGACUACCUACGUGGUUCGCAUACACGGCCGGACACGUAACCGUCGACCCACGCGCCAUUGUCUUCCUUUUCGGAGACGUUGCCUGACGUAAGGAAAGUCUUUAACUGAUGUAAGAGAGAGAGAGAGAGAGAGAGAGAGAGAGAGAGAGCAGGAGAGAUAUACGCUCACAGAUACUCGAUUUCAUUGAUAGGAAGAUUAUCUUCGUUCUUAUAAACGUUUGGGCAUCAUUCGAGAAUAUCGUAUUCUCGUGAAUGUACAUUCGAGAAUAUUGGGACGUUGGAAGAUGGAUUAAAUGGUGGCGGUGAAAAUGUUGGUAAAAUAGGAUCUGUUAAGGUAUAUUCGAUAGAUGGUUAUAGUCGAUCGAUCUCGUACGAUUGUGAAAGAAAUAAUUUCAUUUGAAAGGACGAAAGUCCCUCGGACGAAGAAACGAACGGAGGAACGAAUUUGCGAUGAUCAUCGGCUAAAAAGUUCCCUCAGCUUGACGUCGAACUGUGUUCGGAUGGCAUCGGAUCUGAUUGGGGGGGACUCGAUCCGAAUUUAAGUUCCAUUCCGAGGAGGUCUCAAUUUCGGCCAUUUACUCGAACUUCAUCGGAUCAAAGUGAAACUUGGCUCGAAGCUGAUUCCUUUCGACGAUAGUUCCGACCCGUUUAUCUGCCGAUCGAAUUCCGUACGCUUCUACGUUCUAGCUAGCUACGAACGUUUGCAAGGUUUGGAUUCCUUUCCUUGGCAAGCGCUAGAAUUAGAAAGCGCGUCCCGCUAAAAGAUCCUUGAACCAUCUCCUAUCUCUCCCUUUUUAUCCUCCCCUUCGAUUUUGACGCGAGCCUGAAGAUUUCAUUCGUAAAAAUGUUACAUAUUCUACUAUCUCGGUUAGCAGUCUCCAGAAAAUCGUUUUAUCCUUUACUUCUCUGCUUACGCGAAUAUAUUACUUUUCAUUGUUAUCAUCAAUUAUUGUCAAUAAUUUUACAUACACGUAAUCUUAUGAAAUCAAAUUGGAAAUAUUAAUCGAUUUUAGUUAUGCAAUUAUUUUGAUGAUACGUCAAUAUGAUAUAACAAUCUUUGUAUUAACGAUAAAAUAAAAAAUAUACAAAUAAUAAAGAAUUCAAUUAUUGCACGCUAACGGAACUCUUCUUACGGAUGCCAAAUAUAAUCGAUACGUCUGAACCGAAAAGGGUUAAAGGAAAUCGAAAAAUCUUUCUAAGUAAA